UGGUCCUGCAAAUAUGUAAUAAAACCCAGAGGGGAGGCAGAGGCAAAGGGGUAUUAUCUCCAUGUCCCAGACUGCUUUGCCUCACCCUCCAGGCCUCUUGUAUCAGUAGGACUGGAUAGAGCAGGUCUAGGACACCAGCCCCUACCACACCAACCACCUCUCCUCUGUGUGAUCUGAUCCUCAGGGGCCUCCGUAGUUCACCCUACUAGCUCACACCGUCUCACGUCAGAAUUAGACGUUCAUCCAUGUUUCUCAAACGUCACAUUUCAAAGUGUUUGAGGUUGUUAAGUUUAGGUGUUAACUCCAAAUUCUUAAGGUUAGUCAUUCAUCCUGAAUGGUUCAUGCAACGAUUAAGGUUAGGUAUUCAUCCUGAA
Oncorhynchus tshawytscha (Chinook salmon) is the source of this 374-nucleotide long non-coding RNA. The record is from Ensembl. NCBI's taxonomy places the organism in Eukaryota, Metazoa, Chordata, Actinopteri, Salmoniformes, Salmonidae.